Molecule: ribosomal RNA, 253 nt
Filed under: uncultured bacterium
Lineage: Bacteria
Description: partial 16S ribosomal RNA
Rfam family: Bacterial small subunit ribosomal RNA
Source: RNAcentral
UACGGAGGAUCCAAGCGUUAUCCGGAUUUAUUGGGUUUAAAGGGUGCGUAGGCGGCCUUGUAAGUCAGGGGUGAAAGACGGUAGCUCAACUAUCGCAGUGCCUUUGAUACUGCAGGGCUUGAAUGUACUUGAGGUAGGCGGAAUGUGACAAGUAGCGGUGAAAUGCAUAGAUAUGUCACAGAACACCAAUUGCGAAGGCAGCUUACUAAAGUAUGAUUGACGCUGAGGCACGAAAGCGUGGGGAUCAAACAGG